GAUGAACGCUGGCGGCGUGCCUAAUACAUGCAAGUCGAGCGAACAGACGAGGAGCUUGCUCCUCUGACGUUAGCGGCGGACGGGUGAGUAACACGUGGAUAACCUACCUAUAAGACUGGGAUAACUUCGUGAAACCGGAGCUAAUACCGGAUAAUAUAUUGAACCGCAUGGUUCAAUAGUGAAAGACGGUUUUGCUGUCACUUUUAGAUGGAUCCGCGCCGCAUUAGCUAGUUGGUAAGGUAACGGCUUACCAAGGCAACGAUGCGUAGCCGACCUGAGAGGGUGAUCGGCCACACUGGAACUGAGACACGGUCCAGACUCCUACGGGAGGCCGCAGUAGGGAAUCUUCCGCGAUGGGCGAAAGCCUGACGGAGCAACGCCGCGUGAGUGAUGAAGGUCUUCGGAUCGUAAAACUCUGUUAUUAGGGAAGAACAAAUGUGUAAGUAACUAUGCACGUCUUGACGGUACCUAAUCAGAAAGCCACGGCUAACUACGUG
Molecule: ribosomal RNA, 497 nt
Filed under: uncultured bacterium
Lineage: Bacteria
Description: partial 16S ribosomal RNA
Rfam family: Bacterial small subunit ribosomal RNA
Source: RNAcentral